Molecule: unclassified non-coding RNA, 275 nt
Filed under: fungal sp.
Lineage: Eukaryota; Fungi
Also listed under: 1 other name
Description: partial internal transcribed spacer region
Rfam family: Eukaryotic small subunit ribosomal RNA (bases 1-46)
Source: RNAcentral
AAGUCGUAACAAGGUUUCCGUAGGUGAACCUGCGGAAGGAUCAUUAACAAAUCAUCAAAAUAACCAUGUGUCAAUGUCUUCUUUCCCUUGGUGUGUGGUAGUUGUUGGAGAUGUCGAGACAGAGUGAUAUUAUAUAUAUUAUUCAUUCUUCAUCUCCACCUCUUCCUUCUCACUCUCAAGGGAAACGAUUGCUUAUUUAAUGACUAUCAAUAUAUAUGACAGAUCAUAAUUAUUAAAAAUUUAAACAACUUUUAACAAUGGAUCUCUUGGCUCUU